This 487-nucleotide ribosomal RNA is filed under the name uncultured bacterium. RNAcentral's name for it is "bacterial SSU rRNA". It matches the Rfam family "Bacterial small subunit ribosomal RNA", at positions 501 to 987 of the family's 1533-position model. The record is from RNAcentral.
CUACGUGCCAGCAGCCGCGGUAAUACGUAGGUCCCGAGCGUUGUCCGGAUUUAUUGGGCGUAAAGCGAGCGCAGGCGGUUAGAUAAGUCUGAAGUUAAAGGCUGUGGCUUAACCAUAGUACGCUUUGGAAACUGUUUAACUUGAGUGCAGAAGGGGAGAGUGGAAUUCCAUGUGUAGCGGUGAAAUGCGUAGAUAUAUGGAGGAACACCGGUGGCGAAAGCGGCUCUCUGGUCUGUAACUGACGCUGAGGCUCGAAAGCGUGGGGAGCAAACAGGAUUAGAUACCCUGGUAGUCCACGCCGUAAACGAUGAGUGCUAGGUGUUAGACCCUUUCCGGGGUUUAGUGCCGCAGCUAACGCAUUAAGCACUCCGCCUGGGGAGUACGACCGCAAGGUUGAAACUCAAAGGAAUUGACGGGGGCCCGCACAAGCGGUGGAGUAUGUGGUUUAAUUCGACGCAACGCGAAGAACCUUACCAGGUCUUGACAU